RNAcentral lists this non-coding RNA (104 nucleotides) under Candidatus Megamonas gallistercoris. RNAcentral describes it as "SAM riboswitch (S box leader)". It matches the Rfam family "SAM riboswitch aptamer (S box leader)". From Rfam's summary of the family: The SAM riboswitch is found upstream of a number of genes which code for proteins involved in methionine or cysteine biosynthesis in Gram-positive bacteria. The SAM riboswitch acts at the level of transcription termination control. RNAcentral also lists the same sequence under 1 other name. The record is from RNAcentral. Lineage: Bacteria; Bacillati; Bacillota; Negativicutes; Selenomonadales; Selenomonadaceae.
CUCAUCAAGAGCAAUUGAGGGACUGGCCCGAUGACAUUGCGGCAACCAUUGAUAAUUCAUCAAAACGGUGCCAAAUCCUUUAAGUUUAAACUUAGAAGAUGAGA